GUUUCCGUAGUGUAGUGGUCAUCACGUGCGCUUCACACGCGCAAGGUCCUCGGUUCGAGCCCGGGCGGAAACA
RNAcentral lists this transfer RNA (73 nucleotides) under Limulus polyphemus (Atlantic horseshoe crab). Its description in RNAcentral is "tRNA-Val". It matches the Rfam family "tRNA". From Rfam's summary of the family: Transfer RNA (tRNA) molecules are approximately 80 nucleotides in length. Their secondary structure includes four short double-helical elements and three loops (D, anti-codon, and T loops). Further hydrogen bonds mediate the characteristic L-shaped molecular structure. tRNAs have two regions of fundamental functional importance: the anti-codon, which is responsible for specific mRNA codon recognition, and the 3' end, to which the tRNAs corresponding amino acid is attached (by aminoacyl-tRNA synthetases). tRNAs cope with the degeneracy of the genetic code in two manners: having more than one tRNA (with a specific anti-codon) for a particular amino acid; and 'wobble' base-pairing, i.e. permitting non-standard base-pairing at the 3rd anti-codon position. The record is from RNAcentral. Lineage: Eukaryota; Metazoa; Arthropoda; Merostomata; Xiphosura; Limulidae.